This 241-nucleotide unclassified non-coding RNA is filed under the name fungal sp. Its description in RNAcentral is "partial internal transcribed spacer region". The stretch from base 1 to 45 matches the Rfam family "Eukaryotic small subunit ribosomal RNA", at positions 1787 to 1831 of the family's 1831-position model. The record is from RNAcentral. Lineage: Eukaryota; Fungi.
AGUCGUAACAAGGUUUCCGUAGGUGAACCUGCGGAAGGAUCAUUAACAACAAAUCUGUGCUCGGCUCGCCCGGGAACAUUAGCACCUAGCCUCUCCGGUAUGGGUGGGGCUAGAAUGCACAUAAUAAUAAUAAUCAUAUAUUAUUAUAUAUAUAUUCGCGCAUUUAUUGUAUACUUGUAUUAUUGAUAUUGUAUUAUUAUUAAUUUUUAUGACACUUUUAACAAUGGAUCUCUUGGUUCCU